This 768-nucleotide ribosomal RNA is filed under the name uncultured bacterium. RNAcentral's name for it is "bacterial SSU rRNA". It matches the Rfam family "Bacterial small subunit ribosomal RNA", at positions 730 to 1498 of the family's 1533-position model. The record is from RNAcentral.
UGGACUGUAACUGACGCUGAGGCACGAAAGCGUGGGUAGCAAACAGGAUUAGAUACCCUGGUAGUCCACGCCGUAAACGAUGAGUACUAGGUGUAGGAGGUAUCGACCCCUUCUGUGCCGCAGUAAACACAAUAAGUACUCCGCCUGGGAAGUACGAUCGCAAGAUUAAAACUCAAAGGAAUUGACGGGGGCCCGCACAAGCAGUGGAGUAUGUGGUUUAAUUCGAAGCAACGCGAAGAACCUUACCAGGUCUUGACAUUUGCCGGAUCCCGCGGAGACGCGGGGGUGCCCUUCGGGGAGCGGCAAGACAGGUGGUGCAUGGUUGUCGUCAGCUCGUGUCGUGAGAUGUUGGGUUAAGUCCCGCAACGAGCGCAACCCUUGUGAUUAGUUGCUACGCAAGAGCACUCUAAUCAGACUGCCGUUGACAAAACGGAGGAAGGUGGGGAUGACGUCAAAUCAUCAUGCCCCUUAUGACCUGGGCUACACACGUACUACAAUGGCCGCGCACAGAGGGAAGCGAAACCGCGAGGCGGAGCGAACCCCCAAAAACGGUCUCAGUUCGGAUCGCAGGCUGCAACCCGCCUGCGUGAAGCUGGAAUUGCUAGUAAUCGCGGAUCAUCAUGCCGCGGUGAAUACGUUCCCGGGCCUUGUACACAUCUCGACCCGUCACACCAUGGGAGCCGGUAAUACCCGAAGUCGGUAGUCUAACCGCAAGGAGGACGCCGCCGAAGGUAGGAUUGGCGACUGGGGUGAAGUCGUAACAAGGUA